UGGGGAAUAUUGCACAAUGGGCGCAAGCCUGAUGCAGCCAUGCCGCGUGUAUGAAGAAGGCCUUCGGGUUGUAAAGUACUUUCAGCGGGGAGGAAGGGAGUAAAGUUAAUACCUUUGCUCAUUGACGUUACCCGCAGAAGAAGCACCGGCUAACUCCGUGCCAGCAGCCGCGGUAAUACGGAGGGUGCAAGCGUUAAUCGGAAUUACUGGGCGUAAAGCGCACGCAGGCGGUUUGUUAAGUCAGAGGUGAAAUCCCCGGGCUCAACCUGGGAACUGCAUCGGAUACUGGCAAGCUUGAGUCUCGUAGAGGGGGGUAGAAUUCCAGGUGUAGCGGUGAAAUGCGUAGAGAUCUGGAGGAAUACCGGUGGCGAAGGCGGCCCCCUGGACGAAGACUGACGCUCAGGUGCGAAAGCGUGGGGAGCAAACAGG
Molecule: ribosomal RNA, 429 nt
Filed under: Chloroflexota bacterium
Lineage: Bacteria; Bacillati; Chloroflexota
Description: Chloroflexi bacterium partial 16S ribosomal RNA
Rfam family: Bacterial small subunit ribosomal RNA
Source: RNAcentral